Molecule: ribosomal RNA, 253 nt
Filed under: uncultured bacterium
Lineage: Bacteria
Description: partial 16S ribosomal RNA
Rfam family: Bacterial small subunit ribosomal RNA
Source: RNAcentral
UACGUAGGCAGCGAGCGUUGUUCGGAGUUACUGGGCGUAAAGGGUGUGUAGGCGGUUCUCUAAGUUUGGUGUGAAAUCUCCCGGCUCAACCGGGAGGGUGCGCCGAAAACUGGAGGGCUAGAGUGCGGGAAGGGAGAGUAGAAUUCCCGGUGUAGUGGUGAAAUGCGUAGAUAUCGGGAGGAACACCAGUGGCGAAGGCGGCAUCCUGGCCCUGUCCUGACGCUCAGGGGCGAAAGCGUGGGGAGCAAACCGG